GAUAAACGCUGGCGGCGUGCCUAACACAUGCAAGUCGAACGCCCUUUUGCGCAAGUGAGAGGGAGUGGCGGACGGGUGAGUAGCACGUGGGUACCUACCUUGAGGUGAGGAAUACCACCGAGAAAUCGGUGACAAGACCGCAUGUCUUCGGCACCGAAGAAAGUCUCGCAAGAGACGCCACAAGAUGAGCCUGCGCCUGAUUAGCUGGUUGGUGAGGUAACAGCUCACCAAGGCAACGAUCAGUAGCUGGUCUGAGAGGAUGAUCAGCCACACUGGGAUUGAGAACGGCCCAGACUCCUACGGGGGCAGCAGUGAGGAAUUUUCGUCAAUGGGGGCAACCCUGAACGAGCAACGCCGCGUGCAGGAUGACACUUUUCGGAGCGUAAACUG
RNAcentral lists this ribosomal RNA (390 nucleotides) under uncultured bacterium. RNAcentral's name for it is "bacterial SSU rRNA". It matches the Rfam family "Bacterial small subunit ribosomal RNA", at positions 28 to 432 of the family's 1533-position model. The record is from RNAcentral.